AUUGAACGCUGGCGGCAGGCCUAACACAUGCAAGUCGAGCGGAUGAAGGGAGCUUGCUCCUGGAUUCAGCGGCGGACGGGUGAGUAAUGCCUAGGAAUCUGCCUGGUAGUGGGGGAUAACGUCCGGAAACGGGCGCUAAUACCGCAUACGUCCUGAGGUAGAAAGUGGGGGAUCUUCGGACCUCACGCUAUCAGAUGAGCCUAGGUCGGAUUAGCUAGUUGGUGGGGUAAAGGCCUACCAAGGCGACGAUCCGUAACUGGUCUGAGAGGAUGAUCAGUCACACUGGAACUGAGACACGGUCCAGACUCCUACGGGAGGCAGCAGUGGGGAAUAUUGGACAAUGGGCGAAAGCCUGAUCCAGCCAUGCCGCGUGUGUGAAGAAGGUCUUCGGAUUGUAAAGCACUUUAAGUUGGGAGGAAGGGCAGUAAGUUAAUACCUUGCUGUUUUGACGUUACCAACAGAAUAAGCACCGGCUAGCUUCGUG
RNAcentral lists this ribosomal RNA (484 nucleotides) under uncultured bacterium. RNAcentral describes it as "partial 16S ribosomal RNA". It matches the Rfam family "Bacterial small subunit ribosomal RNA", at positions 30 to 507 of the family's 1533-position model. The record is from RNAcentral.